Hydatigera taeniaeformis is the source of this 119-nucleotide non-coding RNA. The record is from Rfam. NCBI's taxonomy places the organism in Eukaryota, Metazoa, Platyhelminthes, Cestoda, Cyclophyllidea, Taeniidae.
GCCAGCGUCGAUGUAACGUGGCCGGCAAGUGGUAUCGUCCACUUACGGAGGUUGAGCUACGUUGGUCUGGUUUAGUACAGCCGUUGGUGACGGUUAGUGAAUACCCAGAGACGCUGGUA